CAAGUAUACAAAGAGAUUGUUAUGGAAUCAUAGCUAUAUAUCAAAGAGAGCAAUAAGAAAAAAAGAAAAAUAAACGAAGCGAAGUGAAAUAUCUUACUAACUUCAGGAAAACAAAUCAAAAGAGAUUCUUUAAGUAAUGUGAAUGAAAUAAGAAAAGUCUUAAACAAGUAAAUUGGAGUACAUAUCUGUUUGAAUAAAAGGGGAACCUUCCUCUAAGACUAAAUAUGAUAUAUAUGUGAUAGCGAAAAGUACCGUGAGGGAAAUGAUUGAAAUAGCAAUUUUAGAAGCAGCUCAAAAAAAGUUUAAAUAAACGAGUAGAGCGUACCUUUUGCAUAAUGGGUCAGCAAGUUAAUGUUUGAUGCGAGCAGUAAAAAAGUUUAGAAUUAAGAGUUGCUUUACAUAUUGCGUAGAUAAAACAAUUAUGAUAUAAUGAUGUAGUAUCAAAUAUUAGACCCGAAGCUUAGUGAUCUUACUACAAUCAGGAAUAUAAAAGUCCGAACGGGUUAUCGUUGUAGAGAUAUCCGAAGAAUUGUGGUAAGUUAGUGAAAGACAAAACUGACUAAGAUAGCUGGUUUUCUGCGAAACCUAUUUAAGUAGGUAAUUUAAAUAGAAUAUCAGAAGGUACAGAAUUGUGAUCUCAUGCAACUAGUACUCAUUCUCCUGUUAAUUCAGUAAUAUGAAUGAAAUGCUUUUUGCGGACAUUGGGGGGUCGUGAAGACUCUAUCAGUGAGUAUUUGUUCUCGGAAGGACUAGAUAUGAAUAUUGAAUAAUCAGACAUAGUACGAUAAGGUUGUAUGUCUAAAGGGAAACAGCCCAGAACAAGAGUUAAUAAGGUUCCAAAAUUAUUGUUAAGUGAAAUUAAGGGAGUAUUUAUUCUAAACAACCAGGCAAUAGGCUUAGAGGCGGCCAUUUUCUGAAGAUCUCGUAACAGAGCACUGGUUUAAACGUUAAUAAGGAUAAAAGCACCGAACAUUUAACGGAUCUAAAUAAUAUACCGAGACCUUGUCCAAAUAUAUUAAUGUAUUUAUACAUUACAUUGUAUAUGUGGGGUAGCAGAACAUUGGGGAAGUUUAUUAUUAUGUCUUUACAAGACAUAAUAUUAACAAGCCAAGCGAAAAUGCUGACAUGAGUAACGAUAAAGGGCAAUACCCUCGCCUAAAGCUUAUGGAAUUUAAUUAAAGUUACGGCCUCUAAGUUUAUUAUAUAUUUAAUUAAAAUAAAGAGUGACAAAUGUUCUGGAAAACUGUAGAUCUCGUUUGCUAAACAGUAAUAAACUAAGUAAGAUGACAUGUUUAGCAAAUGCUUUACCGUACCUAAAUACUAACACAAGUAAGCAAGUAGAGUAUACGAAGGCGUUCGAGUUAACAAUCAUUAAGGAACUCGGCAAAUUGACUCGCGUAACUUCGGGAGAAGGUGGGCCGUCCCUUUUGAUUAAUAUCAGAUAUGGGAUAGGAGGCACAGAAUGGUGUUGUACGACUGUUUAAUUAAAACAAAGCACGCUGCGAAGAAAUAAAUUCGAAGUAUUGAGUGUGAUGUCUGCCCGAUGGUGGCUGGUUAUCGGAUUUGCUUGGUUGACUAAAAUAAGCUAGGCUUUGAAGGAACCCCCUUUCAAUGGCGGCCUUACAGAUGAGGGUCCUAAGGUAGCGGAAUACCUCGGCCGUUAACUGCGGUCUUGCAUGAAUGAUGUAACGAUACAACAGCUGUCUCAAUGAUUGGCUCGGUGAAAUUGUAAUAACUGUGCAGAUACAGUUUACCUCUAGUUGGACGAGAAGACCCUAUGCAGCUUUACUGUUGCUAGUUACCGAAUAUGAUAAGAUGAGUUUUAGUAAAUAAGGUAAUUGCUAAGAUAUAAUUGAGACACCUUUACUUCAUUUAUCAUAUUAUAUAAACCUUACAUACUGGACUAACGAGUUUAUAGGAACAAUUGCUAGGUGGCAGUUUAUGCGGGGCACAGACCCCACAAAAAGUACCUGGGUGUAUCCAAAUUCAUUUUUGUAAAAUUGCGAUAUGCAAUUAAAUGUGUACACACUUAUUUCAUAAAAAAUAAGAGUCCUACAUGUUUUUUAUUUUUAGUCUGAAGUUGGUCUUAUUUUAAUAUAUUUUUUAUAUUUUAUUGCUAAUUCAGUUACAUAUCUAUUUUAAGUUGGAACUUUUUUUUUUUUUUUUUAAUUUGAAGUAAGAUUUUCCCUAUUAUAAAGUAUAGAUGUAAUUAAAUUGUUCUUUAUUUGUUGUUAGACCAAAGCUGAGAAAUUAUCACAUUAAAUAACCAUUUUUAUUGUUUAUCAGAUACUCAUUCUGUAGGUUUAUAGAUAUCUGCUUAAAUGAUAAUUAUUUUACUUAUCAAGUUUAACGGCUUAAUCUUGCUUUACUGUUUGACUUACAUGUCUUUCAGUCGCGUAAGCGGGGCAUAUUAUCACAAGAUGCAGAAAGGAAAGGUCUUGGAUUAUUGAAAAAGCUACGCUAGGGAUAACAGGCUAAUUCGCGCAAGAGAGUUCAAAUUGGGUGCGGAGUUUGGCACCUCGAUGUCGGCUUAACUCAUCCACAUGAAUGCAAGAGUCAUGAAGGGUUCGCCUGUCCGUCGAUUAAAGAGUUACACGAGCUGGGUUAAAUACGCCGUGAGGCAGUAUGGUUUCUAUCUUCUAGAGGAGGUUAGAAUAGAAUAAGGAUAGCCCCUUGUACGAAAGGAGUUGGGUAUAUUAACCUAUGGUUUACCUGUUGUUUUCAUGUGCCUUAUUAUAUUAAUACAGUUUUACAGUUAAUAACUUUUAGAACUGUGAUUUGUAAGUCUAUAGCUAAAUGUAAAGAACAGGCCAAAUACUAUGACUUACACUGGGUUUUAUUUUACACUAGAAUAGAAAACGGCAGGCACGGCAGGAAGGCUACGUUAGUGAAUGAUAAGUGCUGAAUGCAUCUAAGCACGAAAUAUACCUUAGGAUAUUCUUAAAUAUAUGUAGUUUAAUACUACGAUUUUAAGUCGUUUUUAUUUUUUAGUUAAUAUUCAUUUUAUUAAACACAUGUCAUGAAUUUAAUAAAACAAUAUAACUAAAAGUAAAGAUAGGAUCUUAAUUAAUAGGUCUAAGUUUAAAGAAUUGUGAUGUUCUUAGGCGUUAGAUACUAAUUUUAUAACCUACUAAUUAGUA
Molecule: ribosomal RNA, 3140 nt
Filed under: Parmotrema stuppeum
Lineage: Eukaryota; Fungi; Ascomycota; Lecanoromycetes; Lecanorales; Parmeliaceae
Description: LSU rRNA
Rfam family: Bacterial large subunit ribosomal RNA
Source: RNAcentral